RNAcentral lists this long non-coding RNA (5183 nucleotides) under Sus scrofa (pig). Its description in RNAcentral is "lncRNA (ENSSSCG00065041928.1)". Lineage: Eukaryota; Metazoa; Chordata; Mammalia; Artiodactyla; Suidae. The record is from RNAcentral.
AUCAUCUCAUUUAGUGCUCACAAGAGCUUGAGUGUCAAAUGUUUUUAUUCAAAUUUUAUAGAUGGGAAAAUAGAUGCUCAUAUAUGUUAUAUAACAAGUCAAAAUACACAGAUAAUGAAUACCAGAGAGAAAACAUUACAACCUAAACUUGCUAGACCGCAAAAUCUGUGCCUUUCAAUAUUUGGCUGUCACGCAGGAAUCAAUUCUCCAAAGUAGGCAUUUGUACAUGAUAUUCAACAAGAACAUGAGAUAAUUUUCUGUAUUAUCCUAGUAGUUGGUAUCAGUAAGGCCACUAGGAAAUACUAUAAAAAUAUAAAUAAAUUUAAUUUGGGAUGCUUUCCUAAUUCCAUUUCUUCCGUUCUUCUCCCCUUUCAAAGAUCUCCCCUUUCACAAAGCUUUUCCUGAAAUUUGUUGCCUGCCUCCACCCAUGUAACUCCUCUAAUCUAUACUUACAUCUGUUUGAAGACCAGUAUAUUAGUUAGGAUUAGAUGUGGCUGCAUAUGACAUGAAAUCCAAAUGAUGCACUUAAACCACACAGAAGUUUAUUUAAAUCUUAUAUAAAAGAAGGCCAGAGGUAGGGAUUUCGGGGCUAAAAAAGCAGUUGACAAUACCACCAUGUCCCAGACCUCUUCCAUGGCUCUCCUCCAUCAUCCUUAGUAUGUGCAUCUCAUCCUCAUAUAGGCCGUAUGGUUCAACAUGCCAGCUAGGUCUUGGGUUCUUAUGUUUCUAUAUGUCUAACUAAAUGUGUAACUUUUUCAAAAGGAGUAUUACCAGAAAUACCCUCUGACCUUUUUUGUCUAUAGUUCUCAGUUAGUCCUAGGACUACUGUCACAAAGUACACAAAUUAGGUGUCUUAGGAAAAAAAAUAAAUUUAAGUCUCAUAAUUCUGGAGUCUAGAAGUCUGAAAUCAAGGUAUUAGCACGGUUGUGCUGCUUCUGAGAUCUCAGGUGGAGUACUUCCUCACCUCUUUCUAGCUUCUGGUGUGGCCACCAACUCCUUAACGUUCUUUGGUUUAUGAGUAGGAUUCACUUUAACCUCCACCUCUGUUGUCACACAGUAUUAUCUUCUUGCAGGUAUUUCCCCAUCUCAUUUUCUUCCCUUCUCUUCUUAUGAGGACAUCGAUCAUUGGGCUGAGGUCCCCAACAACCCCAGUUUAUAUUCACCUUCUUGUUCCAUAUGCAGAAACCCUAUUUCCCAAUAAGGGCAUGUCCUGAGGUACAAGGGCUUACGAAUUCCACAUAUCUUUUUAAGGGAAAACAAUUCAACCCAUAACAACUUCAUUAGAGCUUAGUCACAUGUCCACAACAAUAUUUGAGUAUGAGGAUAAAUGUCAACACUGGCUAGAUUAUCACCAUCCCAAAUUAAACUGCUGCUGUUACCAAGAAAGAAGAGAAUAGAUAUUGAUUGUCUAUCUUAUCAAGUAGUAUAUCAUUGAGCACCUACAGAGCAUCCAGAAUGUUGUGUGGCAUGUAGUAGACCCUCACUAAAUAUUUUUUUGAACAAAUGAAUGAGUGAUCUAGAAUUAUACUUAUGAGAAGAAAGCACAUGGUAAUGGGACAAAUUUAUAAAGUACAAUAAACUGUAAAGUCUUACCUAAAACUGGAAACUCUAUCUUUAUCCAGAGAAGAUAAGCUUCAAAUUUUUGGAGGCUUUUUAACGAUCUGGAAUGAAGUGUCUAGCACAGAUUCUGGAUGCAUUUGCACACAAUCUGGAAAUACUAUAAGCCCUGGGCAAGGAAAAAGGGGGCUUUCUGACCAUAUCCUAUCAGUAAGCCUGAAUUACUAGAAAUGGUUGGGCCUACCCAUCAGGGCACACAAGAACUAAAUGCAAAGAAGGCAGGCAGAAGGCCUGGGAAUCAGAACCAACUUACAGAAAUAUUUGGUGGGCAGCAGUGUUUUCAAAUUUUUAAUUUAUUGCCAUGUUUUAAACAUGAUUUCAGGUAGAAAUAUGUAUUUCCAACUGUUUUUUAAAACCCAAAGAUUUGAUAAUAUUGAGCCCAAAUAAAUAUGUAGCAAUUAUUGGUUGAGUCUGAGUAUGAGCUGUCCAAUUCAGAUGGGGAAAGAAUUCCCUAUUCUUCCAGUUACCCUUCUUCACAAAUUUAUGCUUCUUUCCUGAACUCUCAAUGUAUUUGAGUUUGUCACUCUUGGUCUAAUGUCACCUAGAAAACCUAAAGUAGGUGCCUUCAUAUACCUAAAUUUCUUCAGUUUUAAAGUAUUAAUGUUCACAGCAAAUAUUCAAAGCACUGUAGCAAUGGAUGUAUGGCAAGGGAAAAUAAGAUGAUAUCUCUAAAUUGUAUAAUAUACUACCCAGGCUUCUUUCACACCAGACUGUUGACAACAGGAAGAUGUGUCUUUCUUUUCAUCUCAUGUUUUGGUGCCAUGAAUUGGUAAUUUGACUAAUGAAUAAAGGAAAACUAAUGUGUUGAUUCUAAAGAAACAAUAUAUGGGGAUGAUACAGAUAUAGAUACACACACACACACACACACACACACACACACACAUUUCACCGAAAAUCAUUAUUGUUUAAGGAAAAAGAAAAGAGUAAAAAACAAAUAUUUUAAAAUGUAAUAGUCAAAUAAUUAUGACAGCUUUUAAGAAAAAUAAAGUGAGAAAAAGGAAUAGGAAAGUCUAGAUCAAAACAAUUUUUGAAAAGGUACUUAAGGAAAGCAUCACUUAAGAAAGAAGACAAUAUCUGAAGAUGAGAAAACAGUCCAUGCAAUAUCUUGGAGAAGAACCUUCAAAGCAGAGGUAAAACAAGGACCAAGGAAUUGAGACAAUGGGAGCAUCACUGGCAUGUUCGAGGGAUGUGAAGGACAGCAGAGUAUCAGGAUGAAUGAGUAAGAAGGAGAAUAGCAGAAGGGGAGGCCAGGAAAACUGGGAGAAUCACGUAAGCUGCCAUAUGUCAUUUUAAGUAUUUUGAAUCUACUAGGAAGAGAUUAGAAACCAAGGAGUAUGCAGAGCAGAGAGAUGAUAUGACCUGAUAUUAUAUUUUAAGGCAUCAUUUUGGCUGCUGUGUUGAGUUAGACUGUAAGAGGGAAAGAUAGGAAACAGGGAUAUUACUUAAGACUUAUGAAGUCUACCCAGGCAGGAGAGAAUGUUGACUUGGACCAAGAUCAAAGCAAUGGGAAUGGUGAAGAGGCUUCAGAUUUUGAAUAUAUUUUAAGGUAGGAUUUGCUAAUGGACUGUAUAUGGCAAAUAAGAGAAAGAAGUCAUCAAAGGUGAAUCCAAGGUUUUUAAGCCUAAAAGCCACCACUUCCUAAGAUGAGGAGGUCUGAAGUGAUUGCAUUCUGGGUAGGGUGGGCAGAGGCUUGAUAGGGAAUUUGCUUUAAGUUUCAGAUGCUUGUUAGACAUUCAAAUAGGCUAAAGAUGUCUAGGCUAAAGAUAAAUUUGGGAAUUCUACUGAAGAAAAAUGAUAAUUAAAAUUAUGAAACUGAAUAUUAUUACCAAGAGAAUGUGUGAAAAAGAUAAGCAGAGAUCUGAGAACUGAACCAGGGGUACUCCAAUAUUUAAAGUUUGAUGAGAUAAAUAAGAAUAAGCAAAGGGAUAGCAAUGAAUUAGGAGUAAAAUCAGAAGGAUAAUGUUCCAAGAAGCUGGUAUAAAAAGUAUUUCAAAGAGGAAGGUUGAAAACUGAGUCAAGUGUAGCUGAUAGGUAAAGAAAGAUCAAAAUUUAGAACAUAUUAUUGGGUUUAACAAAGGAAUAAAAUUUGGUGCUUUGAAAAGAUCAGUUUUGAAAGAGUAAUGGAUGGAAGCAAAACCCUGACUCAGAAGUCUUCAAGAGUGAAAGUGGACAUAACCAGAGACAACGGGUAUGGACACUGAUUUCAACUAUCACUUUCUAAAAGGUGAAAAUUGUCAGAGACUGGAGAAAAAGGAGGAGACUAGGGAAGCUUUUCAGUUUUGAUUCUGUUUAAAAAUGGAAGAAAAAGUAGAUAUAUAUAAACUGAUUAUUAUGAUACAGCAGAAAGAAGGAAAUAUUAGAGUCAGGAGAGAAGAAUAUUUCAAGCAGGUGAGAAUUAAGUAGUUCUGAUACAUAAGUGGAUGGUUUACCCUUUUUAUGAGUUCAGUCAGUUCAUCCACAGGAGAUGGAAAGUAUCAUAUAUAGAUGCUAAGGAAGAUAAAUAGGUAGAUGUGGUGGUGAGAGCCUGUAAACGCUGUCUUCAGAUUUUGCAUUAUUUUCUCAGUGUAUUGAAGUAAUCAGUUAAGAAUGAGGAUGGAAAACUUAGAGUUUGGAAAAGAGAGAAGAGGUAGGAAAAACUGGCCUGGAAGAGUAAGAGUGAAUGAACUAGGGUAAGGGUGAAUGAAUGAGGAGGAUGGCUGAGCAGUGCUUAGAGUCCACUCAAGAUCAGACAUGUAUUUAAAGUGAGACCCGAAAGUCUGGUCCAGUAAUUUGCUACAAACUGCAUUUGCUGUGCAAGUGCAGGGACAAUGCAGGUGGAGAGAAGUAUUUAACUAGGUUUGGAAUUUUGCCAGGCAACUAUGGUAAAGUGAGAUGGGUAAGGAAGUUGAAGUAACGGAGAGGUUUAAUGCCCAGUGACAGAAUCUAACUUGGAUAAAGAAGCAUCAUGGACAUAAAAUGGUGGUGAAGGAGGGCAAAAAGUAAAAGGAUCUAAAAAUUGUGCCAAUAAGCUCAAAGAAGAGUUGAGUUGAAAGAUAUUAGAAAAGGUGGGAUGGAGGAUUUCCUGUCAUGGCUCAGCAGGUUAAGAACAUGCCUAGUAUCCAUGAGGAUGCAGGAAUGAUCCCUGGCCUCACUCAGUGGGUUAGGGAUCCAGUGGUGCCAUGAGCUGUGGUGUAGGUUGCAGACUCUGCUCAGAUCCCACAAUGCUGUGGCUGUGGCAUAGGCCUGGAAACUUUCAUUUGCUGCGGGUGCAGCCCUUUAAAAAAAAAAAAAAAAGUGAGAUGGAAAGAUACGAAGAGGUACUUGGAAAAUGCUUGAAAUUAGGCUACAAAAAUGUUACUUUCUGCAAUGAUAAUGAUGUCAUCUAAGGUAUGGCCAUAGCAUUGAAUAGCUAUGAAAGGGUGAAGGACAAGAUCAUUGGAAGGGAGACAGGAAAAGAAGUUUGAAGCCAAUUUAUUAGAAAAAUUGUCUAAGUAGAUAUUGAAAUCACCAAAGAAUUUCAUAGUUGUCAAGGAGCUAAAAUCGUUCAGGAACAAGAGGUACUGAAGUUGGAGUCAGUGGAUGACUGC